UUGAACGCUGGCGGCAGGCCUAACACAUGCAAGUCGAGCGGAUGAAGGGAGCUUGCUCCUGGAUUCAGCGGCGGACGGGUGAGUAAUGCCUAGGAAUCUGCCUGGUAGUGGGAGAUAACGUCCGGAAACGGGCGCUAAUACCGCAUACGUCCUGAGGGAGAAAGUGGGGGAUCUUCGGACCUCACGCUAUCAGAUGAGCCUAGGUCGGAUUAGCUAGUUGGUGGGGUAAAGGCCUACCAAGGCGACGAUCCGUAACUGGUCUGAGAGGAUGAUCAGUCACACUGGAACUAAGACACGGUCCAGACUCCUACGGGAGGCAGCAGUGGGGAAUAUUGGACAAUGGGCGAAAGCCUGAUCCAGCCAUGCCGCGUGUGUGAAGAAGGUCUUCGGAUUGUAAAGCACUUUAAGUUGGGAGGAAGGGCAGUAAGUUAAUACCUUGCUGUUUUGACGUUACCAACAGAAUAAGCACCGGCUAACUUCGUG
RNAcentral lists this ribosomal RNA (483 nucleotides) under uncultured bacterium. RNAcentral describes it as "partial 16S ribosomal RNA". It matches the Rfam family "Bacterial small subunit ribosomal RNA", at positions 30 to 507 of the family's 1533-position model. The record is from RNAcentral.